GACGAACGCUGGCGGCGUGCCUAAUACAUGCAAGUAGAACGCACAGUUUAUACCGUAGCUUGCUACACCAUAGACUGUGAGUUGCGAACGGGUGAGUAACGCGUAGGUAACCUGCCUGGUAGCGGGGGAUAACUAUUGGAAACGAUAGCUAAUACCGCAUAAUAUUAAUUAUUGCAUGAUAAUUAAUUGAAAGGUGCAAUUGCACCACUACCAGAUGGACCUGCGUUGUAUUAGCUAGUAGGUGAGGUAACGGCUCACCUAGGCGACGAUACAUAGCCGACCUGAUGGGGUGAUCGGCCACUAUGGAAAUGAGACACGGCCCAGACGCCUACGGGGAGGAGCAAUAGGGAAUCUUCAGCAAUGGGCGGGAGUCUGAGCGAGCAAGGCCGCGUGAGGGUAGAAGGUUUUCGGAUCGUAAAGCUCUGUUGUAAGAGAAGAACGGGUGUGAGGGUGGAAAGUACACACUGUGACGGUAUCUGACCAGAAAGAGACGGCUAACUACGUG
RNAcentral lists this ribosomal RNA (505 nucleotides) under uncultured bacterium. RNAcentral describes it as "partial 16S ribosomal RNA". It matches the Rfam family "Bacterial small subunit ribosomal RNA", at positions 28 to 507 of the family's 1533-position model. The record is from RNAcentral.